UGGGGAAUAUUGGACAAUGGGCGAAAGCCUGAUCCAGCCAUGCCGCGUGUGUGAAGAAGGUCUUCGGAUUGUAAAGCACUUUAAGUUGGGAGGAGGGGCAGUAAGUUAAUACCUUGCUGUUUUGACGUUACCAACAGAAUAAGCACCGGCUAACUUCGUGCCAGCAGCCGCGGUAAUACGAAGGGUGCAAGCGUUAAUCGGAAUUACUGGGCGUAAAGCGCGCGUAGGUGGUUUGGUAAGAUGGAUGUGAAAUCCCCGGGCUCAACCUGGGAACUGCAUCCAUAACUGCCUGACUAGAGUACGGUAGAGGGUGGUGGAAUUUCCUGUGUAGCGGUGAAAUGCGUAGAUAUAGGAAGGAACACCAGUGGCGAAGGCGACCACCUGGACUGAUACUGACACUGAGGUGCGAAAGCGUGGGGAGCAAACA
Molecule: ribosomal RNA, 427 nt
Filed under: uncultured bacterium
Lineage: Bacteria
Description: bacterial SSU rRNA
Rfam family: Bacterial small subunit ribosomal RNA
Source: RNAcentral